This is an RNA transcript of Solanum pennellii, 1555 nucleotides long. It is a transcript of the gene named V-type proton ATPase subunit F-like, with no coding region annotated. Lineage: Eukaryota; Viridiplantae; Streptophyta; Magnoliopsida; Solanales; Solanaceae. The record is from RefSeq and is a predicted model, not a curated record. The transcript has 5 exons.
CUUCUUUUACGUUUCUCCCACAUCGAGCUCAGAGAGCUUCGUACAGGAGAAUAACAGGAGCAGCGAAGCAAUGGAGUCGGUCCCUUCGGGGACAUCCGAUAAAAUUGGAACGAUACAGAGAAGAUUAGCAUGGCCCCUGCGCAAGGAUGACACGCACAAAUCGAGAAAUGGUCCAAAUUUUUUCGCCGGCCGUCGGCGCUGGUGCUCCGGUCAGUCUGUAUUUUUUUUGCCGGCCGUCGGCGGCGCGUAAUCUAUUCGGAGAUUCAAUAAGUACAUAGUGAUUCUCUUGUAGUUGGUUACAAUCACAAUCAAUUUGGUUUAGAUGUUGAAUCGAGCACCGGUCCGAACAAAUAACUCAGCCUUCAUUGCUAUGAGUGCUGAUGAGUAAAUGAACAUUACAGAUCAGUAACACAAGCAAACUGGACAGCACCCAGUUUUGCAGCAACUUUCAAUCUCUACUAUCUUUACAACCAGUUCCUUGCUACAAUAUCACUAUCACAGGGUAGAAAUUCAGAGUUUACAAUAUAUAGCUUAGUCUUGGUUUUGUUCUUCCUCUUAUAUGUACCUCUUGAACAACCUGUUUCGCCAGCAUUGCAGGGGUUCUUGUUAUCUUUCGGAAAAUUCGUUGGUUCCUCUCCUGCCAAAUAAGAUAAGCACUUGCAGCCAGUGCCAUCCUAUAUACCUCAGCUCUUGUUUGCUUGCUUUUGCAUUGGGCAUUUACUCAAGUUAUUUCCUAUUCCCAUCCUCGAGCCCCUCCCUAUGGAUACUUUGCCAACAGAGUACCUUCUGCCACACCUGAGAUGAGAACAGACACCGAAAGAAUAUACAAUUAUGGCUCUCAUCUUCAGUUCCGCAUACGACACAGUGAACAUCUUCUGCACAGCCCCAUGUUGCUAAUCGAUCCCCUGUGAGCAGCCUGCUUUGUAAUGCUAAGUAUAAUAUGGAAAUCCGCUUAGGACAAGCUGUAUCAUUACAAGUCAGUUUCCUCCACUCCACCUUCUGGAUACAAUCACUGGAUUUUUACUAGCAGGAGUUGGCAAUGUUGAUUUGAGGAGGAAAACUAAAUAUAUGAUUGUCAAUUCAAGUAUAUUUUCAACUUUUUUGUUCUCUCUAUUGUUGAGAUUUCGUUGCUGAAAAAAUUAUGGAAGAAAGAAAAUUGAGGUUGCUUGAUUAGGGUUGUCAAGUCCUUGUGAGAUAUAUCAGUGAAGCAGAUUGGAGAUGCUUUUAUAGAAUUCACCACAAGAGAGGACAUUGCUAUACCGUUAAUCAGCCAAUAUAUCAAGAGGCUAAUACCGAGGAGAAAGAGGACGAUGCUAUAUUAUUGACCUAUUUUAAAACAAGAACUCAUCGUCUUGCUGAUGGUGUAAAUAAUCCCACUGAAACUGAAGAAAUUUGUGCCAUAUGUCAAGCAGGAUUUGAGCAUGAAGAGUCCAUUGGGACACUUGGGUGUAGACACGAAUAUCAUACAAGUUGCAUCAAACAAUGGUUGUCGAGGAAAAAAAAUUGUCCCAUGUGUCGAGCUUCUGUUUUGCCCUAAAAUACAUAAGCAUAUAGA